Molecule: ribosomal RNA, 429 nt
Filed under: Chloroflexota bacterium
Lineage: Bacteria; Bacillati; Chloroflexota
Description: Chloroflexi bacterium partial 16S ribosomal RNA
Rfam family: Bacterial small subunit ribosomal RNA
Source: RNAcentral
UGGGGAAUAUUGCACAAUGGGCGCAAGCCUGAUGCAGCCAUGCCGCGUGUAUGAAGAAGGCCUUCGGGUUUUAAAGUACUUUCAGCGGGGAGGAAGGGAGUAAAGUUAAUACCUUUGCUCAUUGACGUUACCCGCAGAAGAAGCACCGGCUAACUCCGUGCCAGCAGCCGCGGUAAUACGGAGGGUGCAAGCGUUAAUCGGAAUUACUGGGCGUAAAGCGCACGCAGGCGGUUUGUUAAGUCAGAUGUGAAAUCCUCGGGCUCAACCUGGGAACUGCAUCUGAUACUGGCAAGCUUGAGUCUCGUAGAGGGGGGUAGAAUUCCAGGUGUAGCGGUGAAAUGCGUAGAGAUCUGGAGGAAUACCGGUGGCGAAGGCGGCCCCCUGGACGAAGACUGACGCUCAGGUGCGAAAGCGUGGGGAGCAAACAGG